RNAcentral lists this ribosomal RNA (301 nucleotides) under uncultured bacterium. RNAcentral describes it as "partial 16S ribosomal RNA". It matches the Rfam family "Bacterial small subunit ribosomal RNA", at positions 509 to 807 of the family's 1533-position model. The record is from RNAcentral.
CAGUAGCCACGGGAAUACGAAGGGGGCUAGCGUUGCUCGGAAUGACUGGGCGUAAAGGGCGCGUAGGCGGUUUUCCAAGUUAGAUGUGAAAUUCCUGGGCUCAACCUGGGGGCUGCAUUUGAUACUGGGAGGCUUGAGUAUGGAAGAGGGUCGUGGAAUUCCCAGUGUAGAGGUGAAAUUCGUAGAUAUUGGGAAGAACACCGGUGGCGAAGGCGGCGACCUGGUCCAUAACUGACGCUGAGGCGCGAAAGCGUGGGGAGCAAACAGGAUUAGAUACCCCCGUAGUCCCUGUCUCUUAUAC